CAACAAAGAAUAAACAUUGAACAACUAAGAAAACAAACAAAAGCGAAACAACACAAUUCAACAUGCAAAGACCAAAAUUUCAUUUACACAAUUCAAUAACAAAAGAAAAACCACGCACAGGAACAUUCAACCCAAGAAAACUCAACACGACACCACAAAAACCUUCCACACACAAGAAUCUACAAAAAAAAAAAACAACAACAUGCAACCAGCACACCAGGGACCAAGAAGACCGCCCAGAUUCCCAAUCUACCUCAACAAAACUCUGGCGUACCCAGAUGCUUCGCAGGAACGACAGUGGGAGGUAAGAUUGUUUAAAUCCUUCAGCGCCCAACGUAGGCUACACCCACCAUUCUACAUCUAAAGAGUUAGCCGGGCAAUCCUCCACGAAUGUUCAACCUAGGAAUGUAUUUCAAUUUACUGUGUCUUGUAUGAAUAUGAGUGGACCUUCCAAUUUUCACAGGUACCAUUUUAGUUACAAAGGACCUUAAACACUGGACGAAGAACAAUAUUUGUAUAAUCAAGGAGGAAAUAAUCAACACAUCAAUGACAAAACACAAAUCUUAACCUAAUAUUGCACUCGUUCACUCACAUCACAUUGAAUGCCUACAUUGGCUGUUGUUCGGCUAUAGUUUGGGUGGAGCGUGACUCCGCCGCUUUCGUCACACUCCCUAUCUUGUUUCCCGAACAUUUGGGACAAUUAGGAGUAACAACUCCCAUUAAUCCGCACCUGUAGCAGAACAAGGUUCUCUGAACACUGGGACAAUCGUUAAAUAAGUGACCCUGUAAUCUACAGUUCCAACAAAGCACCUUAUCAGUAUUCAUAUUGUUUGAUUUCCGAUAUCAAUUCACGAAUAAGGCCAGCAUAAGCCCUUGGGCUAUUGCACGAUGAAAAACCUCUUUGUGUUUGAGAUAUAUUGGCUGGUGGAAAAUUGUAGUUCUUCGGAGGAACAAAAGUUUUCGGUAUUGCUCCGGUUUGUUGCCCAGAAACUGUUGUUUGUGCAUGCAAUAGUGGAUCGUUUGAUGGGUUCCCUAUCGGCGUUCAUUGGCGUUCUCCCUAAUGGCAUUUUAGUAAUCUUUCUUUUAAAAAUUCUAAUUUAUUG
Molecule: long non-coding RNA, 1103 nt
Organism: Lucilia sericata (common green bottle fly)
Lineage: Eukaryota; Metazoa; Arthropoda; Insecta; Diptera; Calliphoridae
Exons: 4
Source: RefSeq, a predicted model, not a curated record